RNAcentral lists this ribosomal RNA (253 nucleotides) under uncultured bacterium. Its description in RNAcentral is "partial 16S ribosomal RNA". It matches the Rfam family "Bacterial small subunit ribosomal RNA", at positions 524 to 776 of the family's 1533-position model. The record is from RNAcentral.
CACGUAGGGCGCAAGCGUUGUCCGGAAUUAUUGGGCGUAAAGAGCUCGUAGGCGGUCUGUUGCGUCCGCUGUGAAAACUCGGGGCUUAACCCCGAGCCUGCAGUGGAUACGGGCAGACUAGAGGUAGGUAGGGGAGAAUGGAAUUCCCGGUGUAGCGGUGAAAUGCGCAGAUAUCGGGAGGAACACCGGUGGCGAAGGCGGUUCUCUGGGCCUUACCUGACGCUGAGGAGCGAAAGCGUGGGGAGCGAACUGG